Non-coding RNA from Odocoileus virginianus texanus, 3174 nucleotides. NCBI's taxonomy places the organism in Eukaryota, Metazoa, Chordata, Mammalia, Artiodactyla, Cervidae. The record is from RefSeq and is a predicted model, not a curated record.
UGGAGCCUCCUGGGAAGGAAACCGGCGCACAACGAGAUGGUUGGGUUUGGAUUGUUGUACUUUUUUUUUUGUUCGUUGCAUUUUUAGGAACAAAAAAAAAAGCCCAACCCUUCACACCGCUUCAUCUGCAUCUCUUACGACCAGCAGCUCGGCCUCAGCGGCUUAGGGGAGACGGAGUCGGCUGUCCGCCUGCACCCCACAACCCGGGGUGCGUGGGAUGGGCACUUGCGCUGGGACCAACGCCAGGGCUGUAGCCAAGGGCUCCAGCCAGAGCACAGUCAAAAUAGUUAACUAUUGCCGCCCCCGCCCUCACCAUCUAUUUCUUUGCAGGCUUUAGGCUGAACACGAGGGACCCAAUUCAAGGUUUCUUUUUAGGAAAAACACCACUGCCCUUUCCUUUGGAGAGAAAGAACUUCAAUACAAUUAGCCGCUAGCCUGACUCAGUAUUCUGACGUCCAGCCCCCUAUAUAGGGACCUUCUCUAAUAGCAAAGGCGUUAAGCACCUUCAAACGAGCAAUUACAAGAUUACAAAGGUGAAAGAAUGGCUUCUCCCAAACUUGCAGCCUUGAGGGGUGUGAACCAAGGACAAAAAUCACAGAAUAUGCCCUGGGGUUGAGUUCACCCCCAUUUGAGAAGUCUGUGCUUUGGAAGUAGAAUUCCUGGGGGAAAGGAUUGGUACUUGGGCCCAGUCACUAAUACCGCUUAGCUCAAUCGCUAUAAAAAGCUCCUCCCCACUCCCUUCUAAGAUAUCCAGUUCCUGACCAUGCUUGGGUCCCAUAAAACCCAGUUUUGUGUGUAUCUCUGUUAAACCCAAUUUUGCCUUUGAAGAAUAUGUUGCCGUCAAAUAUAGUCACAAUUUGAAAGUUGAGAAAUAUGAUUUAUUCAGUGGGAAUUUUUAGGACUUCAAGCCUGGGAGACAGCAUCUCAAGUGACCCUGAGAGAACUGCUGGAGGUUGGGGUGGGGAGGGAGGUCAAGUUAUAUGGAAGUUGGCAACAAGGGGCAGGUAGUCUGAACAUCAAAAGAAUUUUUGUGAAUUAAAGAAAACCAGAUAUACCUCAAGGAAUUUAAUGUGUUCUAUGUACCAGAAGAUGCAAGCGUCUGGGCUCACUGAAAUCAUUCUUUUCAUAUGCAUCUCAGCUAUCUGGGGCCAUAUCCUGUUUUUUCUCAGUGCUCACCAUAGGGAACAGCUGCAGCCUAAUGGCUGCCCUGCAGCAGGUAUUAUUUUCCUUCCUGGUUGCCCUGAAUGGCUGGAAUCACUGAUGACUGUGACAUUCUUGUUUAUUGAUAUGGCAGGAAAUACUCCAUUUCUCAAAAUAGUUCCUAUAUUUAUGGCAUUUUGUCUUCAUAAGAACACUGUGGAAUGGCUAUUGUGAUCUGCAACCUAUAGAUGAGGAAACGGAUGAAGUGAUAUUUCCAAGACAAAAAACAGGCAGAACAGACUCUGAAGUCAGAUUCCAGAGCCAAUAUAAGUGGUGAAGGCAAGAUCAGAGGAAGGCCUGGAAGCAUCAUAAAGAUUUCACAGGGGAGGUGGGAGUCCAACAGAACCUUUAAAGACCACAGGAUUUGAAGAUGAGAAAGAGGAAGAGCAUUAGAGUUUUAGAGAUACCUUCUGAUGGCUGCAUAAUUCCAUUAAUACAUCUAACUGUUGAGUUUAUCAAAGGAAAAAGAACCAGGAGGCAAAAACCAGGAAAAGGAACAAAGAUGAAAGGAAAAAAAAAGAAUCUCAACAACUGAGUAUAGUCAUAACUCUUGACAAGAAAACUUUCCAACCAAGCCAAACUGGCUUAGCGCUGCCCCGAGCUAAGCACAAGUGCACUUAGCGCUGAGGAUCGAAGGUAAAUCAAAGCCUCGCAGCCUUAAAGUAUCUCACGGUCUAUCGCGGCACACCCAAAGCAGCGCAUUAGACUGCAGCUGCAAGCCAACCUCCUGUCCCAUACGUUUGCAGCCACAAGUGGCACGCCAGAGCCUGAAUCAAACAGCAUAGUACAAUGCCCUUUUGUUGAAAAGGAGGACUAUGACUCACCCCAUCAUUUUCUGUGUGCGCAGAAACCACGGCCUACACAGGAGCGACGAGACCAAUCGGUCGGUGCUUUACUGAAGCCCCAGGUUACCUGGAAGCUGUCCCGAAAGCGAGCUCUCCAGGGUGGGCUCCAGAGGGGCUGCACAGAAAACUCACGAUUAAGGUUAACAGGGGUCAGGAGGAGCUCUAUGCAUUCGGAUAUUAAAUUAAUAAGUAACAAGUGCAUUAAAAAUAUGUGACCAAGACCUCUGAUGCAUUAGUAACAAGAUGCUAGCUUAGCUUCCCAACUAGACUUUGUUGGAUUUUUUAAAAACAGAAUUUUAUCUGUUUGUGUUUUUCAAACUAGGCCAAGAGGCCUCCUCCAUUUCUAAAAUACAAAAAUUCUUUCUGUUCCUCUUCUCAAACCAAAUCAGACUCUGGACACACCCAGGAGCUCACUGUGUCUUUUAGUUAACUCUCUGUCGCCUUUCACUUUAGAGAAAGUUCUGCCGGUAACAAAACCUGCUAUACUAGCCAAAAGGGAAAAGGACUUGAAGGAAGAGGAAGAACACAUUUUUAAUAAUUGUUCUCAAAACAUAUGAAGAUAAAAAGUAAAAGAAGUGGAGAAAUAUGCCACUCCAUUCUGGAGUCACUCUGGACAAGUGUUUCUGAGCUAUGGCCUAUAGGUCAGCCAUCAUGGCAUCCAAAGGAGAAUGUAAUUACAAAUGAGGACCUGGGAGAAAUCUCUAAGAUGGUUCCCACAAAGGGUACAGUGGAGAAAAAAAAUCUAUGCAAACGAAGAAAGGCAACACUGGAACCUCAUGAGAGCAGAGAAGAAGAAAAAGGAGGUGACAGUGGGAAUGAAGAUGAGGUGGGAGAGGCGGGGAUGGUGGAGUAAUGUCUUAAUGCCUGGUGAUAAAUGAAAAUGCUGAAUUUCCACAGGUAUGUUAGAAUUGCACACAUCCCAUAGAGAGGUUAAGAUAGCAUUUUCUCAUAUAGUGUUAACAUAAAAUAGUUAAUCCUGAAGAACGAUUAACAUAUUACUUAUUAAAUAAAUAAUAAUAAUACCAUUUAUGUAAUAAAUCAUGAAUAAUAGAUAUUUAUUAGAAACAGAGUCUCCUUUAUACAGUUAUAAAUGAGUUCUAGUUGUUAUUUUAAUAAUAAUCCUUUAGAA